RNAcentral lists this ribosomal RNA (305 nucleotides) under uncultured bacterium. RNAcentral describes it as "bacterial SSU rRNA". It matches the Rfam family "Bacterial small subunit ribosomal RNA", at positions 338 to 659 of the family's 1533-position model. The record is from RNAcentral.
CCUACGGGACGCCGCCGUGGGGAAUAUUUCACACUUUUUUCCCCCCUUAUUCAGCAACGCCGCGUGAGUGAAGAAGUAUUUCGGUAUGUAAAGCUCUAUCAGCAGGGAAGAAGAAAGACGGUACCUGACUAAGGAGCCCCGGCUAACUACGUGCCAGCAGCCGCGGUAAUACGUAGGGGGCAAGCGUUAUCCGGAUUUACUGGGUGUAAAGGGAGCGUAGACGGCUGUGCAAGUCUGAAGUGAAAGCCCGUGGCUCAACCGCGGAACUGCUUUGGAAACUGUAUAGCUUGAGUACUGGAGAGGCA